This 455-nucleotide ribosomal RNA is filed under the name uncultured bacterium. Its description in RNAcentral is "bacterial SSU rRNA". It matches the Rfam family "Bacterial small subunit ribosomal RNA", at positions 1 to 507 of the family's 1533-position model. The record is from RNAcentral.
AGUAGUUUGAUCAUGGCUCAGAGCGAACGCUGGCGGCAGGCUUAACACAUGCAAGUCGAGCGGGCGUAGCAAUACGUCAGCGGCAGACGGGUGAGUAACGCGUGGGAACGUACCUUUGGUUCGGAACAACACAGGGAAACUUGCGCUAAUACCGAAUGUGCCCUUACGGGGAAAGAUUUAUCGCCAAAGGAUUAGCCCGCGUAGGAUUAGCUAGUUGGUGAGGUAAUGGCUCACCAAGGCUCCGAUCCUUAGCUGUUCUGAGAGGAAGAUCAGCCACACUGGGACUGAGACACGGCCCAGACUCCUACGGGAGGCAGCAGUUGGGAAUCUUGGACAAUGGGGGAAACCCUGAUCCAGCCAUGCCGCGUGAGUGAUGAAGGCCUUCGGGUUGUAAAACUCUUUCGACGGGGACGAUAAUGACGGUACCCGUAGAAGAAGCUCCGGCUAACUUCGUG